RNAcentral lists this ribosomal RNA (465 nucleotides) under Vreelandella stevensii. Its description in RNAcentral is "partial 16S ribosomal RNA". It matches the Rfam family "Bacterial small subunit ribosomal RNA", at positions 338 to 795 of the family's 1533-position model. The record is from RNAcentral. Lineage: Bacteria; Pseudomonadati; Pseudomonadota; Gammaproteobacteria; Oceanospirillales; Halomonadaceae.
CCUACGGGCGGCAGCAGUGGGGAAUAUUGGACAAUGGGGGCAACCCUGAUCCAGCCAUGCCGCGUGUGUGAAGAAGGCCCUCGGGUUGUAAAGCACUUUCAGUGAGGAAGAACGCCUGGUGGUUAAUACCCAUCAGGAAAGACAUCACUCACAGAAGAAGCACCGGCUAACUCCGUGCCAGCAGCCGCGGUAAUACGGAGGGUGCGAGCGUUAAUCGGAAUUACUGGGCGUAAAGCGCGCGUAGGUGGCUUGAUAAGCCGGUUGUGAAAGCCCCGGGCUCAACCUGGGAACGGCAUCCGGAACUGUCAAGCUAGAGUGUAGGAGAGGAAGGUAGAAUUCCCGGUGUAGCGGUGAAAUGCGUAGAGAUCGGGAGGAAUACCAGUGGCGAAGGCGGCCUUCUGGACUGACACUGACACUGAGGUGCGAAAGCGUGGGUAGCAAACAGGAUUAGAUACCCUAGUAGUC